ACUGUGAUUCCCUUAGUAACUGCGAGUGAAGCGGGAUAAGCCCAUCGUUUAAUCUUCCCGGACUGUGGACGGGACGACAUGUAACGGUAUGGAUAGGUUCUCUAUCAACUCUGGCUGGUCAAAGUCCUCCGGAUUGAGGUGCCAAAGAGGGUGACAGCCCCGUGUGUGACUGGAAAGAGUUGAGUAUGUGGCCGAUUCCGAGAGUCGGGUUGUUUGGGACUGCAACCUAAAGCAGGUGGUAAACUCCACCCAAGGCUAAAUAUUGACACGAAACCGAUAGCGAAUAAGUACUGUGAAGGAAAGUUGAAAAGAACUCUGAAAAGAGAGUUAAAAGUACGUGAAACCGCUAACGGGGAAGCGGAAGGCAGUGUCGAGAUUGGGUGAGUGAGUUGUCUCAAGUUGGUUUUUAUAAUUAAUUUGGGGCGACUAGCUUUGCYCGAUGCGUCAGGACUAUUGGUGUGCGGUGGCUCAAUUGUCGGCAUGGCUUCCACGACACUCAUGCGCAUGAACUUGUGUGUGGGCUCGUGGUUGCGGCAGGCAAUCCGCCUCGUGCGCUGAUAUGGAUGUGGUGAGGCGUUGGUGAUGUAGUGUCGGUUGGUGUUGUGUGGUGCUCCGCGUAGUCACAGCGUGGCUACGUGUGGAGAAGUCAUGUGAUAGUUCAACAACCAGUGCCAGGGCCUGACGUGAUACCUAACCUUC
RNAcentral lists this ribosomal RNA (699 nucleotides) under Kudoa thyrsites. RNAcentral's name for it is "LSU rRNA". It matches the Rfam family "Eukaryotic large subunit ribosomal RNA", at positions 68 to 644 of the family's 3401-position model. The record is from RNAcentral. Lineage: Eukaryota; Metazoa; Cnidaria; Myxozoa; Multivalvulida; Kudoidae.